AGUGAACGCUGGCGGUAGGCCUAACACAUGCAAGUCGAACGGCAGCACAGUAAGAGCUUGCUCUUACGGGUGGCGAGUGGCGUACGUGUGAGGAAUACAUCGGAAUCUACUUUUUCGUGGGGGAUAACGUAGGGAAACUUACGCUAAGACCGCAUACGACCUACGGGUGAAAGCAGGGGAUCGUCGGACCUUGCGCGAUUGAAUGAGCCGAUGUCGGAUUAGCUAGUUGGCGGGGUAAAGGCCCACCAAGGCGACGAUCCGUAGCUGGUCUGAGAGGAUGAUCAGCCACACUGGAACUGAGACACGGUCCAGGCUCCUACGGGAGGCAGCAGUGGGGAAUAUUGGACAAUGGGCGCAAGCCUGAUACAGCCAUACCGCGUGGGUGACGAAGGCCUUCGGGUUGUAAAGCCCUUUUGUUGGGAAAGAAAAGCAGCAGGUUAAUACCACGCUGUUCUGACGGUACCCAAAGAAUAAGCACCGGCUAACUUCGUG
Molecule: ribosomal RNA, 492 nt
Filed under: uncultured bacterium
Lineage: Bacteria
Description: partial 16S ribosomal RNA
Rfam family: Bacterial small subunit ribosomal RNA
Source: RNAcentral